RNAcentral lists this ribosomal RNA (280 nucleotides) under uncultured Staphylococcus sp. RNAcentral's name for it is "partial 16S ribosomal RNA". It matches the Rfam family "Bacterial small subunit ribosomal RNA", at positions 83 to 354 of the family's 1533-position model. Lineage: Bacteria; Bacillati; Bacillota; Bacilli; Caryophanales; Staphylococcaceae. The record is from RNAcentral.
CCUCUGACGUUAGCGGCGGACGGGUGAGUAACACGUGGGUAACCUACCUAUAAGACUGGGAUAACUCCGGGAAACCGGGGCUAAUACCGGAUAAUACAUGAAACCGCAUGGUUUCAUGAUGAAAGACGGUUUUGCUGUCACUUAUAGAUGGACCCGCGGCGUAUUAGCUAGUUGGUAAGGUAACGGCUUACCAAGGCAACGAUACGUAGCCGACCUGAGAGGGUGAUCGGCCACACUGGAACUGAGACACGGUCCAGACUCCUAACGGGAGGCAGCAGGG